Molecule: long non-coding RNA, 297 nt
Filed under: Prunus persica (peach)
Lineage: Eukaryota; Viridiplantae; Streptophyta; Magnoliopsida; Rosales; Rosaceae
Description: long non-coding RNA (PPER_LNC001396)
Source: RNAcentral
AGGUGUGGGAUUGAAGGUUUGCAAAUUAGGGUUGGAGAUUGGAGGAGGGGUAUAGGAAGGAGCGGUGGGAGGGGCAGGAUCGGGAUUCAGAGAAUACGGAGGGUAAGAUUGGGAAUAAAGCGAGUAAUCGGAGGUGGUAAAAGGUGGUGCAGAGGCGUAGGGGUUCUGGUGGGGAUCGGUGGGGUUAGGAAUAGGGUUAGGGUUAGGGUUUUGAAGCGGAGGGUAUUGGUAAUAUGGAGCGGAGGUGUAAUCUCCGUGUUGCAUCGCUGAUUGAGGACGAUAGACUGUUUCAGAGAG